AGAAACUGACAAGGAGAUUGCAACAUUUUUAUGAAGAUAUAGAAAAUGUCUAAAUGUCCUAAAACUCAUUGGUGAUGUUGCACCACUAUUUCCAGGGAAGUUACUAAAAUCAUCAAACUGUACAUUUGAAAUGGUUGAAUGUUAUAUAAGAGAGGUAUCUGUGAGGCUGCUUAAAAAUGCCCAAGAUGCCUCUGUUCAAUCGGAAGGACUCGUGGUCUCCAUCCCCCAACUCCAGGAGCCACCAGAAAGGCUCUUCAUGACCUUUCCUGUAGGUCAGGGCGAGAGAAGCUGAAAAAUUCCAUUCUCUCCAGCAAGAGAGGUGUCAGACUGGCUGGAGGUCAGGAACCUUUGAGGGUAAUGGAUCUUCUGAGUGUCACUUCAUCCCAAGGGUCUACUUAGAUUCAAAUCCCUCUUGCUGCCGUAUCAGCUGUGACUCCUAACGUCCAGGCUGGGGUUCUUUCCGUGGGGAUUCUGCAUUCUACGUCCCUUCAGUCAUCACAGAUUCCACACGGCUUCUGUAGCUACUGCUACCUGAGUUAGCCAUGAGCAACUCACCAAAGGAAAAACAGAGGCUGAGAGUCCGGACAGAGGGAGAGGACUCCUGCCCUCACGUGUGCCUGGACUCUCGGCUUCCACCCCGGGCCACACCAGCACACCUCUGUUAGCAAGCCCUAAGCCCCCCACGCACCCUGUUUCUCCAUGACGCCAUGUCCUAGCAGGUCCCCCCUCCCUCCGCAUCCUCCCCACCACAAAGCACCCCACCUCCUGGGGCCUCACUGCCCAGCCCGGCCCCUGUGGCCUCCCCUCAGCUGAGCCCCUAGAGCAGCCAGAACAUAGGACUCCAGCUGGAAACAUUGCUGGCUGUUACUCCUGGACUGGGGGCCUUCUCUCCCGUCUCCUCGGGAGAAAGGGUCACCAUGGCUUAUAUUUCUCAUUUUACAUGACACUUCCGGGCUCCUGUGUGCUGGCUUCGUUGUGGGUGGUUCCACGGAGACAGCAGCCUGCGAGCUGGCUGGCGGGAGGAGAGGCGGCCCUCCUCAGCAGGCCACAGGAAGCAGUCCGCUGGGCAGGAGGGACACGGAGCUGAAGGCGUCCAGGACAGAGAGGGCAGGAGAGGAAGAGCCGGGGUGGCGCCAGGAGCGAGGCGGAGGCGGGCAGACUGUGACAGCUGGCUCUGGGCACCUGGCGGAGACCCAGGGGAGCCUGGGAGGGUGCGCCCCCCAACCAGGCUAGGACUUGGCCCCCUGUGACGGCCAACCCCGCGCCUCCCUGACACUUCCUCUGAAGCUGGGAGAGAGGAGAAGCCCCCAGCCUGCUAAGCUGGGGCUGGAAGCCCGGAGCCCUCAGGCCACAGGAGAGGCUGAACCGAUCCCAGCCGCUCACCCCACGAGCGGGCAGAUGAGCUGCCCACGCAGGCCUGUCUCACGGACCCUCCCGGUCGCAGGGGGUCUUUGACAUUCACCACCGCGGAGAGGCGCUCGGGGUGGGAAGAGGAGACACGGCCCUCCGGCUUCUCCCCCACAUUUCUCCCAGCCCAGCCUGCAGCUCUGUCAUGAGGAUAAGUGACUCUCGUGGAAGCUGAGAGGUAUUUCCAGCCAGUUCCACAGCUCCUCAGCAGAGGGGGGAAGCGAGAGGGCUCCCCUCGUCUGCCUGCCCUGUGUGCGCAGGGCCGCCUUCCCUGACCGCCUCCUCCGCGCCUCCCAGCCCCUUCUUCCCCCUCAGGCCUCCUCCGGCCCGGCCUCAGGGCUGAAUGCUGUCCUCAGCAAGCCCCCUGCCAGCCCUUCUUGGCCAUGGACCCUAGACCAGGGCCAGCAAACCUGUCCUGGAAAGCGCCAGAGACUCCAUGUGCCAGCGCAAACCCGACCAUGGACCCAAGAGAAACGAAGGAACACAACAGGGCUCCAAUAAAGCUUUCGUCACCAAGGCAGGCGGGGGCGCACGCGGCCCUCAGGCCCUGGCUCGCUGCCCCGAGCGCACCAGCCGGCUUCGUGGACUUGGGAGAGCGCGAGGCCCUCAGCAAAUACCGCAGAAAGAGUGUAACGCCGUGAGGACGCCAACGCUGAGCCACGCCGCGCGCCCGCUUCCCGUCCCAGCGGCCUCCUCCCCACGAAGAGCGACUGAGCUGCGGAAACGGCGAAGGCGGACCGAGAGGCUGGUGGAGGGUCCCCGACACCACACGAGCCAGGGCCACGUGCGUCCCCACUUGACCGGUGAGGAAACUGAGGCUCAGGAAGUGGAUGCAAGGCACCCAGUGACAGGCGCAGUGAGUCCCAGUGUUCCUGACUCCCGUUUGACACGCCCUCGGCCUCCCAACCCCGACAGGGGGAGCCCCCAAACACAAGCCCUCCCGGAAAACGGCCCCUACGGAGGCGGAGAGGAAAGCGCCAGGCCCCCGCCUGGCUGAGCCACCACACGGAGCAGGGAGCCAGUACUUCUCAAAGACGCACGGCCCCACGCGACGUCACCUUUGAUGCUCCUGGUGAAACAAAGCCUCUAUUCUCUUGCCAGUGUCCCCCCCUCAGACGGGAAGAAGCUUUUGAUCUACCGAUUACAUUCCUGUGCUCCUCAGGUGACAAGCGUCCCCUGCCCGACACCCUGAUGACGGACGUGCCUUUGACUAACAAGGUGUAAGAAACUUGGCCCCCGGGCCAGGCAGCGCCCAGCGAAGGACAGACCGAGGGCUGCAAGGGGCGAGGCGAGCCCCAGCCUGCCCAACGCAGGAUCCCGCAGCAGCCCACGUGGAGGUGACUUGGCACGACCUCAGCGAAGCCCCCAUCAGCUCAUCCACAUCUGCACCGAAAAUGGUGACAACCCGGUUGCAGAGGCCACUGGCCCCUUCCAGGCGAAUCCGUUUGGAAAGGAGGGCGGGAGCGAGGCCAGCCCGACUCCAGCCGCCUUCUGCGCAAGAGCCAUCCGGCACCAACACCGUCACUAUUCGAGCUGCCUGAGCUCACUCUUGUUUUGUGUGCCCCCAUCAUAUCCGCGGCAGAUCUCCGACUGAGCUGCCCGGCCUGGGAGCUGGGAUGUCAGGACCCCGUGGGGCAGGUAGUGACCAACCCAAAGUCAACGACCCACACAGGCAGCCCUUUUACAGGAGGAGUCAGGCUGCUCCCUGGUGGGAUUGAGCAUCAAGAACACUGGCCUGAUGUCCUGGUUUGCACGGCUCUGUCCUGCAAACAAGGUCCAUGGGGACAGGGCAAACUAGUGGACAGAGUGGGUCCUGGGUGGGCCUAGAACCUGGAAGGAGUCACCACUGCGAGAAGGGCAGCCAAGGUGCUUCUUUACGACCUUAUGCCGAGGGCACGUUCUUAGAAGGCCAACCCACAGGGGAUGCUUCCAGGGGUAAAACUGUUCUCGGAGACACUCCGAGGUAGACCACCCAUAAAGGUACAACAGCAAGAGUAAGCCCCACGGACUUGCGUUCAUCAUAACCUAUCCGUGUUGCCACUUGUCACAGAGAACCACACGGACGAAAGAUGUGAGCAGGAGGGACAACGGUGAGGGAGACGGUAGUGAAGGGGGACUCUGUGCUACCUGCUCCACUUUUUGCAAACUUAAAACUUCUCCAGAAAAAGAAACUCUAUUAACUAGGAAGGAAGGAAGCGAGAGAGGAGGGAAGCUCUGAGGCUUUGCAGGGCCGUCCGGGCCCACCCAGUCACAGCUGGCGUCUCUGGAUGUGGUGUCUCUGGGUGUGAGCAUGACAGUGUCUGCCCCUAGGCUCCAGGCCGCUGGGAAAGGGCGUAGGGACAGGGGAAGGGCCAGCAGUCAGGAGGCUGUUACCACAAGCCAGGCGGGAGAAGGUGCAGACCUGGGCAUAAAGCCCACAUUUCCGGGGACCGCAGCAGGAACAUGAGGGGAGAAGCGGUGCCCACCUAGGCUAUCCUGCUAUAACUGUGAG
RNAcentral lists this long non-coding RNA (3898 nucleotides) under Sus scrofa (pig). RNAcentral describes it as "lncRNA (ENSSSCG00035025935.1)". Lineage: Eukaryota; Metazoa; Chordata; Mammalia; Artiodactyla; Suidae. The record is from RNAcentral.